UCCCUCAUAGCUCAGUCGGUAAAGAAUCUGCCUGCAGUGCAGGAGACCUGGGUUCAAUUCCUGGGUCGGGAA
This 72-nucleotide transfer RNA is filed under the name Ovis aries (sheep). It matches the Rfam family "tRNA". From Rfam's summary of the family: Transfer RNA (tRNA) molecules are approximately 80 nucleotides in length. Their secondary structure includes four short double-helical elements and three loops (D, anti-codon, and T loops). Further hydrogen bonds mediate the characteristic L-shaped molecular structure. tRNAs have two regions of fundamental functional importance: the anti-codon, which is responsible for specific mRNA codon recognition, and the 3' end, to which the tRNAs corresponding amino acid is attached (by aminoacyl-tRNA synthetases). tRNAs cope with the degeneracy of the genetic code in two manners: having more than one tRNA (with a specific anti-codon) for a particular amino acid; and 'wobble' base-pairing, i.e. permitting non-standard base-pairing at the 3rd anti-codon position. The record is from Rfam by way of RNAcentral. Lineage: Eukaryota; Metazoa; Chordata; Mammalia; Artiodactyla; Bovidae.